UUCGGAAACAAGAGAAAUAAG
This 21-nucleotide non-coding RNA is filed under the name Caenorhabditis elegans. Lineage: Eukaryota; Metazoa; Nematoda; Chromadorea; Rhabditida; Rhabditidae. The record is from RNAcentral.